CCUACGGGAGGCUGCAGUGAGGAAUAUUGGUCAAUGGGCGCGAGCCUGAACCAGCCAAGUCGCGUGAGGGAGGACGGCCCUACGGGUUGUAAACCUCUUUUGCCGGGGAGCAACGGGCGUCACGUGUGGCGCCACUGAGAGUACCCGGAGAAAAAGCAUCGGCUAACUCCGUGCCAGCAGCCGCGGUAAUACGGGGGAUGCGAGCGUUAGCCGGAUUUAUUGGGUUUAAAGGGUGCGUAGGCGGAACGUUAAGUCAGUGGUAAAAUUGAGGGGCUCAACCCCGGCGAGCCGUUGAAACUGGCUGUCUUGAGAGGACGAGAGGUAUGCGGAAUGCGCAGUGUAGCGGUGAAAUGCUUAGAUAUUGCGCAGAACUCCGAUUGCGAAGGCAGCAUACCGGCGGCGAUCUGACGCUGAGGCACGAAAGCGUGGGUAUCGAACAGGAUUAGAUACCCUUGUAGUC
Molecule: ribosomal RNA, 460 nt
Filed under: uncultured bacterium
Lineage: Bacteria
Description: partial 16S ribosomal RNA
Rfam family: Bacterial small subunit ribosomal RNA
Source: RNAcentral